RNAcentral lists this ribosomal RNA (409 nucleotides) under Klebsiella pneumoniae. Its description in RNAcentral is "partial 23S ribosomal RNA". It matches the Rfam family "Bacterial large subunit ribosomal RNA", at positions 2534 to 2925 of the family's 2925-position model. Lineage: Bacteria; Pseudomonadati; Pseudomonadota; Gammaproteobacteria; Enterobacterales; Enterobacteriaceae. The record is from RNAcentral.
GGCUCAUCACAUCCUGGGGCUGAAGUAGGUCCCAAGGGUAUGGCUGUUCGCCAUUUAAAGUGGUACGCGAGCUGGGUUUAGAACGUCGUGAGACAGUUCGGUCCCUAUCUGCCGUGGGCGCUGGAGAAUUGAGGGGGGCUGCUCCUAGUACGAGAGGACCGGAGUGGACGCAUCACUGGUGUUCGGGUUGUCAUGCCAAUGGCACUGCCCGGUAGCUAAAUGCGGAAGAGAUAAGUGCUGAAAGCAUCUAAGCACGAAACUUGCCCCGAGAUGAGUUCUCCCUGAGACUUUAAGUCUCCUGAAGGAACGUUGAAGACGACGACGUUGAUAGGCCGGGUGUGUAAGCGCAGCGAUGCGUUGAGCUAACCGGUACUAAUGAACCGUGAGGCUUAACCUUACAACGCCGAAG